RNAcentral lists this ribosomal RNA (492 nucleotides) under uncultured bacterium. RNAcentral's name for it is "partial 16S ribosomal RNA". It matches the Rfam family "Bacterial small subunit ribosomal RNA", at positions 29 to 507 of the family's 1533-position model. The record is from RNAcentral.
AGUGAACGCUGGCGGUAGGCCUAACACAUGCAAGUCGAACGGCAGCACAGUAAGAGCUUGCUCUUACGGGUGGCGGGUGGCGGACGGGUGAGGAAUACAUCGGAAUCUACUUUUUCGUGGGGGAUAACGUAGGGAAACUUACGCUAAUACCGCAUACGACCUACGGGUGAAAGCAGGGGAUCUUCGGACCUUGCGCGAUUGAAUGAGCCGAUGUCGGAUUAGCUAGUUGGCGGGGUAAAGGCCCACCAAGGCGACGAUCCGUAGCUGGUCUGAGAGGAUGAUCAGCCACACUGGAACUGAGGCACGGUCCAGACUCCUACGGGAGGCAGCAGUGGGGAAUAUUGGACAAUGGGCGCAAGCCUGAUCCAGCCAUACCGCGUGGGUGAAGAAGGCCUUCGGGUUGUAAAGCCCUUUUGUUGGGAAAGAAAAGCAGCAGGUUAAUACCCCGCUGUUCUGACGGUACCCAAAGAAUAAGCACCGGCUAACUUCGUG